GAGUUUGAUCAUGGCUCAGAACGUACGCCGGUGGCACGCCUAACACAUGCAAGUCGAACGAAGUAGCAAUACUUAGUGGCAGACGGGUGAGUAACAUGUAGGUAUCUACCCUUUGGCCUGGAAUAACACGAGGAAACUUGUGCUAAUACCGGAUAAGUCUUUACGGAGAAAGCUUUAUGCACCAUUGGAUGAGCCUGCACUUGAUUAGUUUGUUGGUGGGGUAAUGGCCUACCAAGACUUUGAUCAAUAGCUGAUUUGAGAGGAUGAUCAGCCACAUUGGGACUGAGACACGGCCCAAACUCCUACGGGAGGCAGCAGUGGGGAAUCUUGCACAAUGGAGGAAACUCUGAUGCAGCGAUGCCGCGUGAGUGAAGAAGGCCCUUGGGUUGUAAAGCUCUUUCGUCGGGGAAGAAAAUGACUGUACCCGAAUAAGAAGGUCCGGCUAACUUCGUGCCAGCAGCCGCGGUAAUACGAAGGGACCUAGCGUAGUUCGGAAUUACUGGGCUUAAAGAGUUCGUAGGUGGUUGAAAAAGUUGGUGGUGAAAUCCCAGAGCUUAACUCUGGAACUGCCAUCAAAACUUUUCAGCUAGAGUUUGAUAGAGGAAAGCAGAAUUUCUAGUGUAGAGGUGAAAUUCGUAGAUAUUAGAAAGAAUACCAAUUGCGAAGGCAGCUUUCUGGAUCAUUACUGACACUGAGGAACGAAAGCAUGGGUAGCGAAGAGGAUUAGAUACCCUCGUAGUCCAUGCCG
RNAcentral lists this ribosomal RNA (748 nucleotides) under uncultured bacterium. RNAcentral describes it as "bacterial SSU rRNA". It matches the Rfam family "Bacterial small subunit ribosomal RNA", at positions 9 to 802 of the family's 1533-position model. The record is from RNAcentral.